This 233-nucleotide ribosomal RNA is filed under the name uncultured bacterium. RNAcentral's name for it is "partial 16S ribosomal RNA". It matches the Rfam family "Bacterial small subunit ribosomal RNA", at positions 103 to 334 of the family's 1533-position model. The record is from RNAcentral.
CGGCUGAGUAACGCGUGGGUGACGUACCUGUUGGUGGGGAAUAACUGCCCGAAAGGGUGGCUAAUUCCGCAUAAGUCCUUGCAUUCAAUUGGAAGGGGAAAGCUUCGCAAGAGGCGCCGAUGGAGCGGCCCGCGUCCGAUUAGCUUGUUGGUGGGGUAACGGCCUACCAAGGCGACGAUCGGUAGCUGGUCUUAGAGGAUGAUCAGCCAGACUGGGACUGAGACACGGCCCAG